Molecule: long non-coding RNA, 1061 nt
Filed under: Coturnix japonica (Japanese quail)
Lineage: Eukaryota; Metazoa; Chordata; Aves; Galliformes; Phasianidae
Description: lncRNA (ENSCJPG00005007771.1)
Source: RNAcentral
UUUGGAUUUUGCAUAGACCAGCUGUAUGUCUCUUGCUUAUCUAGUUAUUCUUUUUCCCUUAACUCUUGCCAUUAUCUCUUCCCAAAUUGUUUCCUCCUUAACUGUGAAAUAUUCAUCAAGGCAGAGGCUGACACUACAGCAUCACUACACUCCUUUGAAUGUUCCUCAUACCACCAGUAUUUUAAUCCAACAAAAUUUCAAAGCACCAUGCCAUCAGAGGGUUCCACGGUGUGCUGCAAAAUCGUGAGGAUGAUUUUUUCAACAGUAAUUUAUAAAAUAUUAAUAGUCUACUCAGCAUCAUCUGUUUCCUGCGAUAGAUACAAGCAUCAAAUAUGAUACUGCAAAAGGCAGAACCAAAAAGACAAACUACCAUCUGCUUUCAGACACAGCUACAAGAAAUCCUAAAAUACUUUGAAAUAUGUUUCCCUUUUUGCUUAGUCUCUGGUAACGUGUGAGCAUUUCUUCUACAUGUAAGCCAAAAUAAUUAAAUAAGCCAUGUAGCAGCUCACUCUGACAAGAAACGUAGCAAUAGGGAAGAUAAGAAUCUUCAGUAUGUCAUGUAACAAUUCGAGCCUCCAAGUCAUCCAGGACAUUUAUGCUUUCCUGAUUACCAGCAAAAGGUCAAUGCUGAUCUCAUACUGUACUUGUCAGUAAUCUCCCAUAUGAUAACAUUAAUAUUUUUCAGACUGAGAAAAAUCAAUGCAGAUUAUAUGCAUGGGAGGGAAACAGAGUUCACUUAGUGUUUCAUACACUGAUAACCUGCACCACUGAGUGCUGUUCCAAAGUUUAACAAUGUGAUGCUCUCUUCUUAGGGUUGAAACUUGUUUAUGUUCUGAAAAUAAGAUCUUAGUGGGGACAGAAAAAGAAGAAAGCAAUUUCUAAAGCUACAGGAAACACAAAACUGGAAUGUAAGUGAGUGAGUAAAUUCAGAUUAUCACAAGGUAUCAGAUGUUAAUGGUUCUAGGAUAUUUAAAAGGCAAAUCUUGAGCUCAAUUUUAAGAAAUCAGGAACUCAGAGAGUUACGUAUGAGACAACACAUUUCAAUAUGCAGAAUAUUUGAG